CAGUAACUUUCCUUCCCCAAAACCCACCUUCCUUCCCCAAAACCCACUACUUAGCAGCUUCAGGAAAAUCAAAGAAAGAAAUAAAGAAAAGAAAGGGAAGAGGGAAACAGAUCCACAGAGGAAGAGGAACGGGGAAGAGAGAGAGAUCUGAGGGGAGAGGGAGACCGUGACUGGCGCCGCCGCUGCCUCGCCCAGUUGCCGUGCUUCUCAUCGUCGCCGCCGAAGGGAAGAGGGAGAGAGAGCGCCGUCGAACAGAACGCGAGAAGGGAGAGGAGCUGUGUUCUGUUGUUGACGUUGCACCACCGCCACGCCGUCGUUUGUGCUCGUCGCCGUCGAGGGUCCAUCCACGCCGUCGCUGGAGCCUGAACACCACUGCAACCACCGCGUGUUAUUAUCUUCAGAUCCGCCGCCGUUUGAGUCGCGAACAGGGGAACGCGCGCGAAGGAAACCGUCGCAGAGCUACCGUCGCCGCCGUGUUGAUGGGCUCGCCGUUGUUCUGCUCGCGUGGCUGCUGCGUUGCCGAAGCUCCUCGUCGCUGCUGCUGGCGUCAGAAAUCGCCUUUCAAGCCAAUAUCUGUUGGGAGGAGUCCGAGCAAGAAAAGGAAGAAGGUGGCGAUGGAUACCUCCACUGCUGCUGUUGUUACUAUCGGUGUUCUGGAGCUUGUAGUUACUGCCAUUUUUGGGUGAUGAACCUAGCUGUGUCCUUGCUGCUGAUUGAUUGUAGUGAGAGACGUUGUAGCCAUUACUUUUUAUCUUGAGUCACCAUUGUCAUAUCUCGGUGCUGCCGCCCUUGUUUGGAACAACAGAAUGUUGUCUCCGCCACUGUCGAUUUAUCUAUUGCAAAGUCAUAAUUGAUAAUGGAGCUGCUAAGAUUGCUGCUACUGCCAUGAACUGGGGAUAAAAGGGGUUAUUGAGUUAAAUUCUGUGAUUGAGACAUUGAGGUAGGGGUUUUUCUUAAAAUCUAAUUUAUAUUACAGAGUUGUGAUAAAUAGAUAUUAAUGUGAGAGAACAUAUGCCUGUGAUUAAAAUUGCCUUCUAAAUGUGGUUGUUUGCUGGACUGAAUGACUGAUUGCUUGACUGCUUGAGUAGUUUGUGAUUGCUGAAAAGAAAUUAGUUUGAGAGGUUAUUUAGUUGAUUAUUAUGAGAAAUGGCUUUUCUUGGUUUUGAAGUUAUUUUUGAUGAUGUAAAGGAAUUGACUUUGGAAAUGGUUUAAUUUUGAGUUAGUGACUUUAUAAAUGAUUUAGUAUUUGAGCUGGUUUGAUUUUAAAAAGAGAUUUAUUACGGGCACUGAUUCACUUUGAAAAUUAUUUGAUAUUGGAACUAGCCGAAUCUGGGAAAAUGAUCGAGGUUUUGAAAAGGUUUGAGAAAUGUUUGGAUGGGACCCGAAAAGGGUGGCAGAAUCCGAGUUUUAGAGGAGAUGCUGCCGAAAUUUUAUAAAAUUAGAAGUUUCAUUUGAAGUAGUUAUUUUAAAAGGUUUAGUUUUAAGCAUUAUAUGAUUUAAGAAUACUUCAUUUAUCAAAGAAAAAGUUAUGUUUUGGAUUGAGAAUUGUUAAUGAACGAAACAGAAAGAAGAAUGACGAGGAUUGAUUUGAAAUAUGAUUUUUGAAUGAAUUUGGAAAUGGAUGUGGAUUGACGAAUGAUGAUGACAUUA
Arachis duranensis is the source of this 1650-nucleotide long non-coding RNA. RefSeq lists it as uncharacterized. The record is from RefSeq and is a predicted model, not a curated record. The transcript is spliced from 4 exons. NCBI's taxonomy places the organism in Eukaryota, Viridiplantae, Streptophyta, Magnoliopsida, Fabales, Fabaceae.